RNAcentral lists this ribosomal RNA (375 nucleotides) under Pantoea agglomerans. Its description in RNAcentral is "bacterial SSU rRNA". It matches the Rfam family "Bacterial small subunit ribosomal RNA", at positions 616 to 990 of the family's 1533-position model. Lineage: Bacteria; Pseudomonadati; Pseudomonadota; Gammaproteobacteria; Enterobacterales; Erwiniaceae. The record is from RNAcentral.
GGGAACUGCAUUUGAAACUGGCAGGCUUGAGUCUUGUAGAGGGGGGUAGAAUUCCAGGUGUAGCGGUGAAAUGCGUAGAGAUCUGGAGGAAUACCGGUGGCGAAGGCGGCCCCCUGGACAAAGACUGACGCUCAGGUGCGAAAGCGUGGGGAGCAAACAGGAUUAGAUACCCUGGUAGUCCACGCCGUAAACGAUGUCGACUUGGAGGUUGUUCCCUUGAGGAGUGGCUUCCGGAGCUAACGCGUUAAGUCGACCGCCUGGGGAGUACGGCCGCAAGGUUAAAACUCAAAUGAAUUGACGGGGGCCCGCACAAGCGGUGGAGCAUGUGGUUUAAUUCGAUGCAACGCGAAGAACCUUACCUACUCUUGACAUCCA